UACGGGGGGGGCAAGCGUUGUUCGGAAUUACUGGGCGUAAAGGGCUCGUAGGCGGCCAACUAAGUCAGACGUGAAAUCCCUCGGCUUAACCGGGGGACUGCGUCUGAUACUGGAUGGCUUGAGAUUGGGAGAGGGAUGCGGAAUUCCAGGUGUAGCGGUGAAAUGCGUAGAUAUCUGGAGGAACACCGGUGGCGAAGGCGGCAUCCUGGACCAACACUGACGCUGAGGGAGCGAAAGCCAGGGGAGCAAACGGG
Molecule: ribosomal RNA, 254 nt
Filed under: uncultured bacterium
Lineage: Bacteria
Description: partial 16S ribosomal RNA
Rfam family: Bacterial small subunit ribosomal RNA
Source: RNAcentral